Molecule: microRNA, 22 nt
Filed under: Strongylocentrotus purpuratus (purple sea urchin)
Lineage: Eukaryota; Metazoa; Echinodermata; Echinoidea; Camarodonta; Strongylocentrotidae
Description: spu-miR-153-5p
Gene: spu-miR-153-5p
Source: miRBase by way of RNAcentral
UCAUUUUUGUGUUUAUGCAACU